GGCUGGUCCCAGUGCAGUGGUGUUUACAACUAAUUGAUCACAACCAGUUACAGAUUUCUUUGUUCCUUCUCCACUCCCACUGUUUCACUUGACUAGCCUUAA
This is an unclassified non-coding RNA of Cavia porcellus (domestic guinea pig), 102 nucleotides long. It matches the Rfam family "Y RNA". Rfam says of the family: Y RNAs are components of the Ro ribonucleoprotein particle (Ro RNP), in association with Ro60 and La proteins. The Y RNAs and Ro60 and La proteins are well conserved, but the function of the Ro RNP is not known. The record is from Ensembl. Lineage: Eukaryota; Metazoa; Chordata; Mammalia; Rodentia; Caviidae.